GCUUCUUCUCUGCCUUUUGGCUAAGAUCAAGUGUAGGAUCUGUUCUUAACAGUUUAAUAUCUGAUAUAUUUUCUAUCCGAGUCCAAUAUAUUAAAUGGAUUUGGGGAGCAGGAAGACGCAAUAGGAGCUUUCUUGUUCACUUAACGCAUCCACCUGGUAUUACAGUACCUCCAGGAACAGUGCACCCCCU
This is a small nuclear RNA of Cercocebus atys (sooty mangabey), 190 nucleotides long. Its record names the gene U2. It matches the Rfam family "U2 spliceosomal RNA". Rfam says of the family: U2 is a small nuclear RNA (snRNA) component of the spliceosome (involved in pre-mRNA splicing). The record is from Ensembl. NCBI's taxonomy places the organism in Eukaryota, Metazoa, Chordata, Mammalia, Primates, Cercopithecidae.